RNAcentral lists this long non-coding RNA (1014 nucleotides) under Oryctolagus cuniculus (rabbit). RNAcentral describes it as "lncRNA (ENSOCUG00000036032.1)". The record is from RNAcentral. Lineage: Eukaryota; Metazoa; Chordata; Mammalia; Lagomorpha; Leporidae.
AUGGUCAAAUUUCUGGGAAGAGUGGAGGCUGGGUGGAUGGGUGGUCUAGAGGCCAGGAGCUCAGGUGGGAAGCCCCUGAGAUGGCCGCCUCCUGGACAGGUCGGGGACAUGCAGGGUUCCGGGUGGACUGGCCUGGUUGUGGGGAGGGUCCUCCCAGUGGAUCCCAGCUCCUUCUUCCUCUGGGGAAAGUGCUGGGCUAUUCAAACGCUGGCCUCCACAGCCGCUGAGGACGUGGUCAGUGCAGUCUUGACGUCACCCACCCCCCACCCCCCGCCUGCCACCUGCUCCCACCCAGGAGAUGGAAGCAGAGAGCCCUGUGGAGAGCCAGCCCCAGCCCCAGCCCCAGGAGAGGAGUCAGGCACAGAGGCUGCUAUGGGGGCGGGGCGGGGCGGGGCGGAAGCCAGCCUCCAGGGGCCUUUGUUCUCACGACCUCGGAGGUCAGAACUGAGCAGGCACGAAGUUGUCAGCUCUGCAGAUCCAGAACACUCCAUUUGGCCUGGCCCAGAGGGAGAGGCCUGGGAGGGAAGGCCCCCAGGAGCAGCCAGCCCUGGAGCUCUGGGUCCAAGCCCACCCUACCUGCUGCACUACACACCCAGCAGCUGGGCUCUGCCACCAACCCCUGGCCCCGACGUCCACCUGCCACUGGCUGCCCGGCCCCCAUCAAGGGCUCCUCAGCUCUCUCCCAGACCAACUCACAGAUCCUUUGUUGCAUUUUGCCACAAUGCUUCCAGAUUUCACUGGUGCCAUCUCCCCACACCUGUGCCACACCAUGGGCUUGCAUCUCCCAGCAACUCCUGCGCCCUCCAUAGAGGAAGAAACAGGCCCAGGGCACAGAAGUCAAGAGCAAAGCCGCAACCUCUGGGCUCCCCGCCACCUUCCCAAGGCCUCACAGCCCCCAGCCCUCUGGCCCUUCCCCGGGCACCUGGCCAACAGCCUCCUGCACCAAUAUCCCCAUCCAAGCCCCUGAGCCCCUGCGACUCUCCUGGAACCCUGGGGAGAACUACCCACGUGUGA